UACGUAGGGUGCAAGCGUUGUCCGGAAUUAUUGGGCGUAAAGAGCGUGUAGGCGGCCUGGAAGGUCAGCUGUGAAAACUCGAGGCUCAACCUCGAGACGUCGGUUGAAACCACCUGGCUAGAGUCCGGAAGAGGAGUGUGGAAUUCCCGGUGUAGCGGUGAAAUGCGCAGAUAUCGGGAAGAACACCCGUGGCGAAGGCGGCUCUCUGGGACGGUACUGACGCUGAGACGCGAAAGCGUGGGGAGCGAACAGG
This 253-nucleotide ribosomal RNA is filed under the name uncultured bacterium. RNAcentral's name for it is "partial 16S ribosomal RNA". It matches the Rfam family "Bacterial small subunit ribosomal RNA", at positions 524 to 776 of the family's 1533-position model. The record is from RNAcentral.